Molecule: long non-coding RNA, 3091 nt
Organism: Bubalus bubalis (water buffalo)
Lineage: Eukaryota; Metazoa; Chordata; Mammalia; Artiodactyla; Bovidae
Exons: 5
Source: RefSeq, a predicted model, not a curated record
AAAGCCACCUGCCCUGGAGAUUACUGAGAAGUUAUGACCUACCCAGUUAAUUCUUGGAGUAAGAACAGACUCCGCCCAGGGGAAGAAAACGGCGGAAGUAGUGAAGUCAGAGAAAUCUGUGCAAAAGAUCCUGAUUCCUCUGGGGUACGCACUUGCAUGGUUCAGGGGACGAAUGUUUCUAAGUGACACAGGAAGCCAUUUGAUGCUGUCCUCAAGCCCCAGGGAUGUUACGGAGCAGUGUUCGGCAGCUUCUUUGGUGACCGGCUACACCGUUUGGCAGUGAGUUCAAGGGCUCAUAACUGCACAGAGCAAGGAGCCUGCUGAACAGUGAGGUUCCAGUUUAGAAAGAGUGCUGCAAACAAAGAGCUUCUGAAUGUUUCUCAAUCGGAGCCUCAGGUCGUUGUGACUGUGGAACAGCCUUGUGAACUGAUGGCUGCACCAUGAAGAGUAGCUGUGAGGGGAAGGAGGAAGUCCACCCAGCUACAUGGCCCCUGGAUACAUUGCCAGAUUUAGCAAAAACAACAACAAUAACAAAAAGCAAACCACAACCAGGAUGCCCAUUCAAACUUGAAUAUCAGGGUAUAUGACAAAGGUGGAUGUCAAGGGAGAGUCAUGAGCCUAAGUUUGGCAAAACUGAGGAGCAAGAAGAAACAGUUACAAUGAAUUGGGGUUGGUUGAACAUGCAGAUGGAUGUAGAUAUGGAAGGAUGACUGUGCUAUUGAAACAUGUGAGAGAAGGGAGAAGAGAAACGUCUGAAGACGAGAUUGCAGUGGUUGGCAGGGUCUGCUUCAAGUGUCUUGUAAGCUGUACUAAAGAAUUUGCAUUUUCUCCUUCAUGUAAUGGUAAUCCAUUAUAAUUUUUAAGUAACACAGAAGUAUGAUCUGUCGUGGUAUUUGUAAAAAUAACCCUGGUCUAUAUGAAGAGAAAGAAUUGAAGUGGGCAAGAAAGGUGGCAGUGAGAGCAUUACAAUGGUCCAGUUUAGAGAUGAGGAUAACUUAGGCUAAUGUUAUCCUUUCCUGUCUUUAUUUUCUGGUGCCAGUUAUCUAACUGGUUCCUGUUGAGGGUAUGUAGCUGCAAGAGAGGCAGUGGUCUGCAGAAAUCCCUCAGAAAUCCCUAAGUCACCACUCCUUGGGUGCAGUAUGAGGACAUCUGAAGCCCAAUGACAGAUGUAGAAUUCUAUAGUAUUUAUCUUAGAAAUACUUUCCCAGGUAUUAAGAUACAUUAAUGAAAUCCCAUGGUCAGAGGAGCCUGGCAAGUUACAGUCCAAGGGGUCACAAAAAAUCAGACAUGACUCAGCGACUAAACAACAGCAAUGGGAUCUGAGGGUGAGGAUGGUUUUUGAAUUGACACUCAUGACAUGACAUGACAUGCUUCCUACUUGUGCUGGGUGAUUUUCUGGAAUACUGAUUUUGUGAGUAGAGAAGAACCAAUGAGAAGCCCAUGUUUUUCCAUUUGCCAAGUGAGGCUCUCUUUCAUUUUUAAGGAUCACAGACUCUUCAGAGUUCAGAGACAAAAGAGAGGAUGAAUGAAUCAGUAGGGGUGGCACUAGAGAUGAAAGAUGAUAUGCGACAUUAAAAGUGUUCUAACGACUGUUUAAAAACUUGUCAACUGAAGCUGUCAAAGGGGUUUACCAGUUCUCCACUACUGGUCAUGACUGUUUCAGCUGAGGAGAGGCAGUUUGCAAUGCUAAAUAUCCUAGGAGUAACAAAGUUGAGUUCCCCAAAGGUCUUGGCCUGUUUUCCAAAUUUUAAUAAAUAUGUAAUCCAAUCUGCCUAUUCUAGGACAGAACUAACAUUUUAUUUGGAUGCAAUACAGCGUACAAUUGCAAUGGUUUAAAAAUUUUCUGUGAGACAGGAGUUACUGAAUCCUGCUGUUGUCCAGAAAAUGGAAAAUGGAUGCUACUGCAACAUCUUAACAUCUAGAUGCAAUCAAUCCAAGAGCAACAAAUAAAAACAGGGAGCUGAUUAACCAGCUCAUGCACAAAUAUAAAAAUAUGUGUGAGCAAAAUUCCCAAAGGCAGUAACUUUGUGUAUGGCAGCAUGGAAAAGACCUACCAGUAUGCAGGUGCACAGGCCUGGGCCCAAACAUGACCUGAAAGGAAGAUUGUAUAUUUCCUUUGAUGAGAGAGGAAUUGCUAGAGGUUUAGGUAGGAAGCUUUAGGGAGUUCUGACUACGCCUCACAACUGUCCAGUUGCUACCUGUAAGUCUGCCCCAUUGGCAGAAAAUUUAGAAAGUGGAUUGAAGAAGCCCUCAACAGCAAUGCCAGGAUAAAUGGGAUUAUAGUUGAGAUCUUGUGACAGACCACAUUUCCUUUGGGAAUUAUAUGUUUGGGAAUGUGGUCAAUUUUUGCCCCACUUCUUCAGCUUGGCAUGUUGGCCCUUGGUGUAUUUGUGACUUAAAUAGAAUUUGCCUGUAGAACACUGUGCCUCUGCCCAUGGAUCUCAUACUGUGUGUACAGAGCCACCCCAGGUAUACAGCUAUGUCUCCUCCAGUGUGAAAACUUACUUAGCUACAAAGUAAUAGACAAGAACUGCCAUGAUGGUGCCUGUAAUAGGCAGGUGGAACUAGUGUGUCUUGUGAGCAUAGAACAUAAUGACGAAGAAGUCUAUAGUCUACCCAUCUGGGUUGAAACACCCACUGCAAUGUUGUUACCUCUGUGACCUCCAUUGUUAUUUGAUUCCAUAUGUCUUGGUUUCCUUAUUUAUAACAUGAAGAUGAUAAUGGUAAUUUUCAUGUAGGCAACACAUGCUGUGCAAAGUUCUUAGAAACAGACUGAGUACAUAGAAAGCUCUCAAUAAUGACCACUUCUGUAUGAUGUAGCAUGUGGUAUAACAUGACUGGAAUGAGGUCAGAGGCCCAAAAAGCAUCAUGUCAGCAUGAAAAAAAUUACUGGAGCAUGUGGUGACUUUACGUUAUACCAAUUUCAGAAAGCACAUGGAUAAUUUUACUUAAACAGCUAUAUGGGGCUGAGGGAUGACUAGUGCGUGGUGUUGACAUUGUGAAACAGUGUUAUUCUAAAUGACUGCUACUUUAGUGCUGUAUGAAGACUUUUUGUUCUAUUCAGGUGUCCCAUUAAAAGUGACGAGUUUUU